CCAGCUUGUGAGAGGCCAGAACAGACGCUGAAUUACCUUUCUAUUGCUACCAGAAGCAGUUAAGUUGCAUGGAGAUUUUGGUUUAAAUCUGCAUCCAAAUUUUCAAAAAUAUAAAGCUUACAUAAUUUCCUUGACAAGAAUCACACUGAAAGAAGGACUCCUUCUGUAUUCUCCUAUGAAUAAAAAGACACUUGAAGUAGACGAAGGACCCUGGGGUGGAGAGUGGCUGCUGAUUAGAUACACUAAUUAGAUACACUUACACAAAGAAAAUUUUCUUCAGCUUUCCCGCUUUGCAUUGUGUUUUCCACUAGAAGUUUGCAUCAAAGAGAAGAAAAUUAAUUUCCUGCACACAGAGGUUUCAGUGGACUAUUUCAAGAAAAGGAAAAAGGAACAUUAUUCACUAGAAAACAGUUAUUCAGAGUUACAUCAGAAGACUCUAUAAAUAAGCGAUGUGCUCAGCCUGCCAGCUCUUACAUGCAUACCAAUUACCUCUAUUGGUUUCAGGACACGUAGUCAGUACUUUAAACAACCCAGAUAAUAUUGCAAACUGAAAUAUUCAACAUCUCCAUCAUGGUAUGCUGUCACCACGCAGAGAAAUGAUUAUAAUUGGUAAUCACUUCCACUGCUGAACAUGAAGAAAUUGUUGACGAAGUAACUGACCUCAG
Lonchura striata (white-rumped munia) is the source of this 665-nucleotide long non-coding RNA. RefSeq lists it as uncharacterized. Lineage: Eukaryota; Metazoa; Chordata; Aves; Passeriformes; Estrildidae. The record is from RefSeq and is a predicted model, not a curated record.